GGUACUUAUGCCAAGCAUUUUCGACGCGGCUACGGCAGUGCCAUCGCGAGCAUUGGCAUCACCCAGCGGUGAUGCCUUUUCUGCGCGAGGCCUGCGCAUUUCCCCCAACUACCGGGCAGGGCCAUCGCGAGCACUGGCAUCACCCAGCGGUGCUGCCUUUUCUGCGCGAGGCCUGCGCAUUUCCCCCAACUACCGGGCAGGGCCAUCGCGAGCACUGGCAUCACCCAGCGGUGAUGCCUUUUCUGCGCGAGGCCUGCGCUUUCCCCCUUCUAUUGUAUAGGGCAGUCAUCGCGAGCACUGGCAUGAUGCCUUUUCUACGCGAUGUUCUACCCUACUACUACUACUACCUACUGUUAUGUGACUUACCGCUGCCUACUGCUGUUCCCGGUGACCGUCCGAUUCGGCGAACUGGAGCAAAUGAGCGCACUCAGUGCGAAGUGCUUGCUUAUAUAGCAAGCACAGCGCAGCUUUCGUCGCGGUAGCGAGGUGAGUAUGCGUAUGGUGCAUUAGGACGUAUGGUGGAAAGCUCUAGCGGGGUUCAGCAUCGUUGUGUGCGUAUGGUGCGGGUACAUGGUGUACUGUGGGGCGAAGUUGACGUAACUUAUUGGAAGGUGGCAAAAGCCACGUUACAGUCCCCCCCUCACUUCGGACAAUGAUCCUUCGCUGGCGGCAGGUGGGAGGAGAUCUCCCACGAUGGUUCGGCUGGAGGCUGGCUGGCUGUCUUAGUUGGCGUGAGCCGUGAACGGGGAGCGGGUGUGGAAACCUUUAUUUAAUAGUAGUUUCUUAGCCUAUAGUACCAAGGCGUCUUAUAAACUAGUAUUACAAAAUUUUUAAAUUAACCUAUUGUACAAGGUGUCUUAUAAACUAGUAUUACCAAUUUUUAAAUUAAUUUUAA
Long non-coding RNA from Bactrocera dorsalis (oriental fruit fly), 895 nucleotides. RefSeq lists it as uncharacterized. The transcript has 2 exons. Lineage: Eukaryota; Metazoa; Arthropoda; Insecta; Diptera; Tephritidae. The record is from RefSeq and is a predicted model, not a curated record.